Molecule: ribosomal RNA, 3320 nt
Filed under: Salvelinus alpinus (Arctic char)
Lineage: Eukaryota; Metazoa; Chordata; Actinopteri; Salmoniformes; Salmonidae
Description: eukaryotic LSU rRNA
Source: RNAcentral
CCUCGGUCAUAUGACACAUUAAAAUCUCCCCCCAUAAACACCUGUCUGUUUGUCAUAAAAAUAGCGUCUAGGUCGUUAAGCAUUUCCCUCCUUUCCUUGGGUGUCGAUGGUGCAUAUACGUUAAUAAAUAGAAAACAUUUACCCCUCCAAUCGAUAUCUACUAUUAAAACCAGUCUAAUGUAACGUUAGCGUCCUCUCCUUUAGCUGUUGUCUUUUACAUUUUUCUGCAAGAAUAUCAUCCAAAAUCUGUAUACUUGGACUUGAUUGAGCUUUUCCAGUAUUAGUAGCCAUAUCGUAAGUUCAACAUUUGCAAAACACCCAGUUUUCAUAACUUCAUAACUCACAGAUCUGCGUAACGCGUAACGCGACAGAAAUUGUGCGACAGAUACAGGGUUUCCGCAUACUACCGUAAAGCCCAGCUCAUUGGCUAUCAAGCCCGAUUGGUGCUCAUUUCACAACGUUACAGUCAAUUAAGUAAAAUGACAGAUUUUUUACGGAAUGUCUACAUAGGCCUACAGAUGCCCAUUAUCAGCAACUAUCACUCCUGUGUUCCAGUGUCACGUUGUGUUAGCUACUCCAGGUUUAUAAUUUGAAAAGGCUAAUUGAUCUUUAGAAAACCCUUUUGCAAUUAUGUUAACACAGCCGAAAACUGUUGUUCUGAUUAAAGAAGCAAUAAAACUGUCCUUCAGACUAGUUGAGUAUCUGGAGCAUUAGCAUUUGUGGGUUCGAUUACAGGCUCAAAAUGGCUAGAAACAAAUAACUUUCUUCUGAAACAUGUCACUCUAUUCUUGUUCUGAGAAAUUAAGGCUAUUCCAUGUGAGAAAUUGCCAAGAAACUGAAGAUCUCGUACAACGAUCUCGUACUACUACCUUCACAGAACAGUGCAAACUGGCUCUAACCAUAAUAGAAAGAGGAGUGGGAGGCCCCGGUACACAACUGAGCAAGAGGACACGUACAUUAGUGUCUAGUUUGAGAAACAGACGCCUCACAAGUCCUCAACUGGCAGCUUUAUUAAAUAGUACCUGCAAAACACCAGUCUCAAUGUCAACAGUGAAGAGGCGACUCUGGUAUGCUGGCCUUCUAGGCAGAGUUGCAAAGAAAAAGCCAUAUCUCAGACUGGCCAAUAAAAGAUUAAGAUGGGCAAAAUAACACAGACACUGGACAGAGGAACUCUGCCUAGAAGGCCAGCAUCCCAGAGUCGCCUCUUCACUGUUUAGACUGAUGUUUUGCGGGUACUAUUUAAUGAAGCUGCCAGUUGAGGACGUGAGGCGUCUGUUGACCUGGACUCAAACAAGGUUCAGAAUGUCCAUUUUCAUCUCACAUGAUUUUACAUACAUGUUUCAACGUUUACCAUUCCAAUAGCCCCUUGGUAAUGUGACCUACUGACCUCAAACUACUUUCAGAAUGUCGGUUCCGGCGGCGUCCGGUGAGCUCUCGCUGGCCCUUGAAAAUCCAGGGGAGAGGGUGUAAAUCUCACGCCGGGCCGUACGCAUAUCCGCAGCAGGUCUCCAAGGUGAACAGCCUCUGGCAUGUUAUAACAAUGUAGGUAAGGGAAGUUGGCAAAAAAGACCCCUUCGUCCAGAGUUGCCGCCACCAACUGCCGGAACCACACACACCACCCCCUUCGUCGGGGUGGUGGUUCCGGCAGUUGGUGGCGGCAACUCUGGACGUGCGCCGGACUCUUCUCGUAGAUCUCCCCAGCUACGGCGCUCGCCUGCCCCAUACAUUGUAGGUGGGGAGGUCUCCUCUACGCUCACUAGACUUGAGGCGGAGACUAAACCCAUUGGCCCCACAGUGAUAGGGCAUUGCAUGGAUCUGGCUCAUGCCCUUCGAAGUGGGGAGAGGUUUCUGUCCCGGAGGGCUGACUGAGCAAGCAAAUGAUUGAAAGGGGAUGAUUAUUUUCUGUUGCUUCUUCCGACACCCGGUCGAUGGUGCCACUAGAUACUGCGAUAGGUAUUUGGUUCUCAAGUCUAUAAGUAUUGCMCUGGCACUUGAUGUCGAUUGGGUGUAAAAACUCAGUUAAAGUCCCCUGAAGGUUAGUAGCGGCAACUGAUGUCCAGUUUGUAAAACAGAAAAGCCUCUGAUGAUACCACAGAGCGUGACUCGAAUGGUUGUCAAUUUGAUGAUAUCUGAUCGUAGCAUUCUACCCUUCGCGGUCGCAGUCAAACCACCUUCGGGGUGGCUGUGACCCCCUCAUGUCAAAGUGAGGAAAUUUGAUAAAGCGGGGGUAAACAGCGGGACAUAAUUAAGAGUCUCUUGAGGUAGCCAAAUGCCUUGUCAUCUAAUUAGUGACGUACAUGACUGGAUGAACGAGAUUCCCACUGUUCCUACCUACUAUCUAUUGAAACCACAGCCAAGGGAAUGGGCUUGACGGAAUCAGCGGGGAAAGAAGACCCUGUUGAACUUGACUCUAGUCUGGCACUGUGAAGAGACAUGAGAGGUGUAGAAUAAGUGGGAGGCCUCGGCCACCGCUGAAAUACCACUACUCUUAUCGUUUUUCACCUACCCGGUAAGGCGGGGAGGCGAGCCCCGGGUGCGACCCGCUCUGGGGACAGUGGCAGGUGAGAAGUUUGACUGGGGCGGUACACCUGUCAAACGGUAACGCAGGUGUCCUAAGGCAAGCUUAGGGAGGACAGGAACUUCCCGUGGAGCAGAAGGGCAAAAGCUCGCUUGAUCUUGAUUUUCAGUAUGAAUACAGACCGUGAAAGCGGGGCCUCACGAUCCCUCUGAAUUUAUGGCUUUUAAGCAGGUGGUGUCAGAAAAGUUACCACAGCAAUAACUGGCUUGUGGGGGCCAUGCAUUCAUAGCGAUGUCACUUUUUGAUCUUUUGAUGUCGGCUCUUCUUAUCAUUGUGAAUCAGAAUUCAUCAAGCGUUGGAUUGUUCACCCACUAAUAAGGAACGUGAGCUGGAUUUAGACCACUGUGAGACAGGUUAAUUUUACCCUACUGAUGAUGUGUUGUUGCAAUAGUAAUCCUGCUCAGUACAAGAGGAACUGCAGGUUCAGACAUUUGGUGUAUUUGCUUGGCUGAGGAGCCAAUGGUGCGAAGCUACCAUCUGUGGGAUUAUGACUGAACACAUCUAAGACCGAAUCCCCCCUAAAUGUAACGAUACCAUAGCGCCGUGGAUCUUCGGUUGGCCCGGGAUAGCCUGCCUCUUUUGGCAGGUGAGUAGAUCCGUUUGUGACGGGGUUGGGGUGCGGCCGGAGGAGUUGCUGCCCCUCUCCUGAUGCGCACAGCAUGUUUGUGGGGAACCUGGUGCUAAAUCACUUGUAGAUUACCUGAUUCUGGGUCAGGGUUUCGUACGUAGCAGAGCAGCUCAC